RNAcentral lists this non-coding RNA (35 nucleotides) under unclassified sequences. RNAcentral describes it as "DUF805b RNA". It matches the Rfam family "DUF805b RNA". Rfam says of the family: Bacteroidetes, Chlorobi (1 example), Proteobacteria. The record is from RNAcentral.
AAUGGGGAAGCCGAAAACCAAUUUAAGAGUAGGCG